AGUUUGAUCCUGGCUCAGGAUGAACGCUGACAGAAUGCUUAACACAUGCAAGUCUACUUGAUUUAUGGUUUCGGCCGUAAUGAUGGUGGCGGACGGGUGAGUAACGCGUAAAGAAUCUGCCCUUUAGUCUGGGAUAACAGUUGGAAACGACUGCUAAUACCGGAUAUUAUGGAAUCAUCGCAUGAUGAGAUCAUGAAAGCUAUAUGCGCUAGAGGAGGACUUUGCGUCCCAUUAGCUAGUUGGUGAGGUAACGGCUCACCAAGGCGACGAUGGGUAGCCGGCCUGAGAGGGUGAUCGGCCACAAGGGAACUGAGACACGGUCCUUACUCCUACGGGAGGCAGCAGUGGGGAAUAUUGGACAAUGGACCAAAAGUCUGAUCCAGCAAUUCUGUGUGCACGAUGAAGGUCUUCGGAUUGUAAAGUGCUUUCAGUAGGGAAGAAUAAAUGACGGUACCUACAGAAGAAGCGACGGCUAAAUAUGUGCCAGCAGCCGCGGUAAUACAUAUGUCGCAAGCGUUAUCCGGAUUUAUUGGGCGUAAAGCGCGUCUAGGCGGUUUACUAAGUCUGAUGUGAAAAUGCGGGGCUCAACUCCGUAUUGCGUUGGAAACUGGUAGACUAGAGUACUGGAGAGGUGGGCGGAACUACAAGUGUAGAGGUGGAAUUCGUAGAUAUUUGUAGGAAUGCCGAUGGAGAAGUCAGCUCACUGGACAGAUACUGACGCUAAAGCGCGAAAGCGUGGGGAGCAAACAGGAUUAGAUACCCUGGUAGUCC
RNAcentral lists this ribosomal RNA (771 nucleotides) under uncultured Fusobacteriota bacterium. RNAcentral describes it as "bacterial SSU rRNA". It matches the Rfam family "Bacterial small subunit ribosomal RNA", at positions 10 to 796 of the family's 1533-position model. Lineage: Bacteria; Fusobacteriati; Fusobacteriota. The record is from RNAcentral.